RNAcentral lists this ribosomal RNA (327 nucleotides) under uncultured eukaryote. RNAcentral's name for it is "partial 18S ribosomal RNA". It matches the Rfam family "Eukaryotic small subunit ribosomal RNA", at positions 1470 to 1796 of the family's 1831-position model. The record is from RNAcentral.
CCUCUAGAUGUUCUGGGCCGCACGCGCGCUACACUGAACAGUUCAACAAGUCUUAACCUUGGCCGAUAGGUCUGGGUAAUCUUUGAACGCUGUUCGUGACUGGGAUAGACCUUUGCAAUUAUGGGUCUUCAACGAGGAAUUCCUAGUAAACGCAAGUCAUCAGCUUGCAUUGAUUACGUCCCUGCCCUUUGUACACACCGCCCGUCGCUCCUACCGAUUGAAUGUGUUGGUGAGGAGCUCGGAUUGGCAGCAGUUGGUGGUUCGCCACCGGCUAUUGCUGAGAAGUCCUCCAAACCGCCCCAUUUAGAGGAAGGAGAAGUCGUAACA